AUUGAACGCUGGCGGCAGGCCUAACACAUGCAAGUCGAGCGGAUGAAGGGAGCUUGCUCCUGGAUUCAGCGUCGGACGGGUGAGUAAUGCCUAUGAAUCUGCCUGGUAGUGGGGGAUAACGUCCUGAAACGGGCGCUAAUACCGCAUACGUCCUGAGGGAGAAAGUGGGGGAUCUUCGGACCUCACGCUAUCAGAUGAGCCUAGGUCGGAUUAGAUAGAUUGUGGGGUAAAGGCCGACCAAGGCGACGAUCCGUAACUGGUCUGAGAGGAUGAUCAGUCACACUGGAACUGAGACACGGUCCAGACUCCUACGGGAGGCAGCAGUGGGGAAUAUUGGACAAUGGGCGAAAGCAUGAUACAGCCAUGCGGAGUGUGUGAAGAAGGUCUUCGGAUUGUAAAGCACUUCAAGUUGGGAGGAAGGGCAGUAAGUUAAUACCUUGCUGUUUUGACGUUACCAACAGAAUAAGCACCGGCUAACUUCGUG
RNAcentral lists this ribosomal RNA (484 nucleotides) under uncultured bacterium. Its description in RNAcentral is "partial 16S ribosomal RNA". It matches the Rfam family "Bacterial small subunit ribosomal RNA", at positions 30 to 507 of the family's 1533-position model. The record is from RNAcentral.